CCAAGUAGCUCAGUUGGUUAGAGCGUCGGAUUCAUAACCCGGAGGUCAGCAGUUCAAUUCUGCUCUU
This 67-nucleotide transfer RNA is filed under the name marine eukaryotic metagenome. It matches the Rfam family "tRNA", at positions 5 to 66 of the family's 71-position model. Rfam says of the family: Transfer RNA (tRNA) molecules are approximately 80 nucleotides in length. Their secondary structure includes four short double-helical elements and three loops (D, anti-codon, and T loops). Further hydrogen bonds mediate the characteristic L-shaped molecular structure. tRNAs have two regions of fundamental functional importance: the anti-codon, which is responsible for specific mRNA codon recognition, and the 3' end, to which the tRNAs corresponding amino acid is attached (by aminoacyl-tRNA synthetases). tRNAs cope with the degeneracy of the genetic code in two manners: having more than one tRNA (with a specific anti-codon) for a particular amino acid; and 'wobble' base-pairing, i.e. permitting non-standard base-pairing at the 3rd anti-codon position. The record is from RNAcentral.